This 253-nucleotide ribosomal RNA is filed under the name uncultured bacterium. RNAcentral describes it as "partial 16S ribosomal RNA". It matches the Rfam family "Bacterial small subunit ribosomal RNA", at positions 524 to 776 of the family's 1533-position model. The record is from RNAcentral.
UACGUAGGCAGCAAGCGUUGUUCGGAGUUACUGGGCGUAAAGGGUGUGUAGGCGGUUGGAUAAGUGUGGUGUGAAAUCUCCCGGCUCAACUGGGAGGGUGCGCUACAAACUGUCUGACUAGAGUGUGGGAUGGGAAAGUGGAAUUCCUGGUGUAGCGGUGAAAUGCGUAGAUAUCAGGAGGAACACCGGUGGUGUAGACGGCUUUCUGGACCAUAACUGACGCUGAGGCGCGAAAGCUAGGGGAGCAAACGGG